RNAcentral lists this ribosomal RNA (976 nucleotides) under Clostridioides difficile. Its description in RNAcentral is "bacterial LSU rRNA". It matches the Rfam family "Bacterial large subunit ribosomal RNA", at positions 683 to 1665 of the family's 2925-position model. Lineage: Bacteria; Bacillati; Bacillota; Clostridia; Peptostreptococcales; Peptostreptococcaceae. The record is from RNAcentral.
UUUAACUGAGCGUUCAGUUACUUGACGUAGACCCGAAACCGGGCGACCUACCCAUGAGCAGGAUGAAGCGAAAGUAAAAUUUCGUGGAGGUCCGAACCCACGAGCGUUGAAAAGCUCGGGGAUGACUUGUGGGUAGCGGUGAAAUUCCAAUCGAGCCCGGAGAUAGCUGGUUCUCCCCGAAAUAGCUUUAGGGCUAGCCUCAAGGUGAGAGAUACGGAGGUAGAGCACUGAAUGUCCUAGGGGGUAUUGCACCUACCGAAGACUAUCAAACUCCGAAUGCCGUCAUCUUAUACUUGGGAGUCAGACUGUGGGUGAUAAGAUUCAUAGUCGAAAGGGCAACAGCCCAGAUCGUCAGCUAAGGUCCCUAAAUGUAAGUUAAGUGGUAAAGGAUGUGGGAUUGCACAGACAACCAGGAUGUUGGCUUAGAAGCAGCCACUCAUUCAAAGAGUGCGUAAUAGCUCACUGGUCGAGUGAUCCUGCGCCGAAGAUUUCCGGGGCUAAAACUUACUACCGAAGCUACGGCAUCAGUAAUGAUGGGUAGGGGAGCUUCCCAUACGGGGUGAAGCAUGACCGUAAGGACAUGUGGACAGUAUGGGAGUGAGAAUGUUGGCAUGAGUAGCGAGAUGUGGGUGAGAAUCCCACAGGCCGUAAACCCAAGGUUUCCAGGGGAAGGGUCGUCCGCCCUGGGUUAGUCGGGACCUAAGCUGAGGCCGAAAGGCGUAGGGGAUGGACAACAGGUUGAUAUUCCUGUACUACCGAUAACCGUUUGAGAGAAGGGAUGACACAGUAGGUUAAGCUAAGCACACUGUUGGUUAUGUGUGCCCAAGCAUUGAGGCAGUCAAAGUAGGCAAAUCCGCUUUGAUAAUGCUGGGAUGUGAUGGGGAGCGAAAUUUAGUAGCGAAGUAGCUGAUUUCACACUGUCAAGAAAAGUCUCUAUCGAGGUUAAAGGUACCCGUACCGCAAACCGACACAGGUG